CUCAUGAUGAACGCUAGCUACAGGCUUAACACAUGCAAGUCGAGGGGCAGCAUGGUCUUAGCUUGCUAAGGCCGAUGGCGACCGGCGCACGGGUGAGUAACACGUAUCCAACCUGCCGUCUACUCUUGGACAGCCUUCUGAAAGGAAGAUUAAUACAAGAUGGCAUCAUGAGUCCGCAUGUUCACAUGAUUAAAGGUAUUCCGGUAGACGAUGGGGAUGCGUUCCAUUAGAUAGUAGGCGGGGUAACGGCCCACCUAGUCUUCGAUGGAUAGGGGUUCUGAGAGGAAGGUCCCCCACAUUGGAACUGAGACACGGUCCAAACUCCUACGGGAGGCAGCAGUGAGGAAUAUUGGUCAAUGGGCGAGAGCCUGAACCAGCCAAGUAGCGUGAAGGAUGACUGCCCUAUGGGUUGUAAACUUCUUUUAUAAAGGAAUAAAGUCGGGUAUGGAUACCCGUUUGCAUGUACUUUAUGAAUAAGGAUCGGCUAACUCCGUGCCAGCAGCCGCGGUAAUACGGAGGAUCCGAGCGUUAUCCGGAUUUAUUGGGUUUAAAGGGAGCGUAGAUGGAUGUUUAAGUCAGUUGUGAAAGUUUGCGGCUCAACCGUAAAAUUGCAGUUGAUACUGGAUAUCUUGAGUGCAGUUGAGGCAGGCGGAAUUCGUGGUGUAGCGGUGAAAUGCUUAGAUAUCACGAAGAACUCCGAUUGCGAAGGCAGCCUGCUAAGCUGCAACUGACAUUGAGGCUCGAAAGUGUGGGUAUCAAACAGGAUUAGAUACCCUGGUAGUCCACACGGUAAACGAUGAAUACUCGCUGUUUGCGAUAUACUGCAAGCGGCCAAGCGAAAGCGUUAAGUAUUCCACCUGGGGAGUACGCCGGCAACGGUGAAACUCAAAGGAAUUGACGGGGGCCCGCACAAGCGGAGGAACAUGUGGUUUAAUUCGAUGAUACGCGAGGAACCUUACCCGGGCUUAAAUUGCAGAUGAAUUACGGUGAAAGCCGUAAGCCGCAAGGCAUCUGUGAAGGUGCUGCAUGGUUGUCGUCAGCUCGUGCCGUGAGGUGUCGGCUUAAGUGCCAUAACGAGCGCAACCCUUGUUGUCAGUUACUAACAGGUUCCGCUGAGGACUCUGACAAGACUGCCAUCGUAAGAUGUGAGGAAGGUGGGGAUGACGUCAAAUCAGCACGGCCCUUACGUCCGGGGCUACACACGUGUUACAAUGGGGGGUACAGAGGGCCGCUACCACGCGAGUGGAUGCCAAUCCCCAAAACCUCUCUCAGUUCGGACUGGAGUCUGCAACCCGACUCCACGAAGCUGGAUUCGCUAGUAAUCGCGCAUCAGCCACGGCGCGGUGAAUACGUUCCCGGGCCUUGUACACACCGCCCGUCAAGCCAUGGGAGCCGGGGGUACCUGAAGUGCGUAACCGCGAGGAGCGCCCUAGGGU
Molecule: ribosomal RNA, 1436 nt
Filed under: uncultured organism
Description: SSU rRNA
Rfam family: Bacterial small subunit ribosomal RNA
Source: RNAcentral